AAAAAAAAAGGCAGAUGACAUAGGGCCUUGUGGGCCUUGGUGAGGAGUUUGGGUUUUAUUCUCAAUGCAAAACAAAGCCACUGAAGCAUUCUCAGCCGUGAGGAUCUAGUAUGCUUUGAAAGAAAAAUAAAUAUUUUUUGACUUUAUGUGUUGUAUAAAUGGAAGGGGAAGAAGUAUGGAAAGAAUUUAAACUCUCAGUUGGAAGCAUAUUGCAGGGAAUAGAUUUCAAAAAGACAGAAUGAAAAGAAGAAAAAAUAUUUGAGAUAUACAAACACACAUACAUAUAUAUGUAUAUACAUUUGCGGUUGGGCAGAAGAUACACACUUCAGAUUAAUUCUCUUUUGGUCCUCUAAAUUUUAACAUUGAGAAACAUUACUGUUUCCUUAGUUCUUAAAAAUUUUCCAUAACAAUUUGCUUUGCUAACAAAAACCAAAGAAAUAAAAAUCCCUAUUAUCUAACUUCUGUUGCAAUUAUUAUGCCUAUUCCUUCAUUUUUCCUCUUAAUGAAAAGGGGAACAGCUGCUUACUAUCAUCCAUAUUCUUUUCAUAAACUUGAAGUCUGUUAUUAAGCAGUCCAUAAGUUUGUGAUGUCUAAUUCACAUGUCAUCAUCCAAAUUGACUACUUGAAGUCAAAAGCACUGAAAGGGACUUAGUCAUUUAAAUGACCAAAAUAACCUGGCAAUUAUCCAUUAUCAAACCUAAACAACGAACAUCAUAUUAUGAAAGAAAUUGAAUCAGUAAAAAAUACCAGCAAGCAACUUGAAUGCUUUUAAAAAUUUGACUACAAAAGUCAUUAUGUUGUGCACCAGUUGACAAGAGACGACACUUUCGUGUUCUUGCCAAACAAAAACGAAAACAAAAAAUUAUAGGAGCCUGUUCUAAGUACUGGGGUAACAACCCUAGACACUGUCUUUGGCUUCACAGAGAUAACAGGCCAGAUGGGCAUUGAGACAAGUGAACAGGCAGAUGGAAAACAGCAUGGUGAGUAAUACAGAUGGUGGGAAGAACAGGGUACUAUGGCAUCUGCUGUGGAAAGAAGAUAGAUCUAGGUGAUGGUUAAGUCUAAGACAAAGGAGGAGUAAAAUCAUCAAGGAAAGCAGGAGAGAGGGAAGGAAGUGGAAAGCAGACAAAAAAAAAAAAAAAACAACAGCAGCUGUAGAAGCCUGAGAAGAUGAGAGAGUCAAGUCCUUAGAGGGACUGAAAGCAGAGACAUAACGGCACAAAACGAGAUGGGAAAGUGACGGAGCAAUACAUGAGUCUGUAAUGAGUGUAAUUGAUGCCUUUGUUUUCAAAUGAGAUAUUUCUGGAGUGAUAAAUCUGGAUCUAUGGAUCUUACAUAAGGGAUUUAGGUGGGCAGCAGCACUUGGUUAUUUACAAGUUCAGGAUCCUGUUUAUAAAGCAAGGAAAGAUUGCUAUCUGUCUCCAGCACUAUGGCGAGAUAAUUAAUAGGAGCACUGCUGGAGACUGAUAGUGCAGGCGGCCGAUACCCAUGGCAGGAGCUCUCGUCAUCUAACUGCCACAGAAUUGUGAAGGUAAAGAAUCUGCAGAAAAGUGGAACAUUCAUUUUUACUAAAUAAAUGCAUUAUCUAUAGCACA
Molecule: long non-coding RNA, 1595 nt
Filed under: Homo sapiens (human)
Lineage: Eukaryota; Metazoa; Chordata; Mammalia; Primates; Hominidae
Description: HSALNT0325649
Source: RNAcentral